UACGUAGGGGGCGAGCGUUGUCCGGAUUUAUUGGGCGUAAAGCGCGCGUAGGCGGUUUAUUAAGUCCGAUGUGAAAACUCUCGGCUCAACUGGGAGACUGCAUUGGAAACUGGUAAGCUAGAGUCCAGCAGAGGGAAGUGGAAUUCCAAGUGUAGCGGUGAAAUGCGCAGAUAUUUGGAAGAACACCAGUGGCGAAGGCGGCUUCCUGGACUGCGACUGACGCUGAGGUGCGAAAGCUAGGGGAGCGAACAGG
Molecule: ribosomal RNA, 253 nt
Filed under: uncultured bacterium
Lineage: Bacteria
Description: partial 16S ribosomal RNA
Rfam family: Bacterial small subunit ribosomal RNA
Source: RNAcentral